RNAcentral lists this ribosomal RNA (857 nucleotides) under uncultured bacterium. RNAcentral's name for it is "bacterial SSU rRNA". It matches the Rfam family "Bacterial small subunit ribosomal RNA", at positions 524 to 1381 of the family's 1533-position model. The record is from RNAcentral.
UACGUAGGGGGCAAGCGUUGUCCGGAAUGACUGGGCGUAAAGCGCGCGCAGGCGGUCUUUUAAGUCUGAGGUGAAAGGCUGGGGCUCAACCCUGGCAUCGCCUUGGAAACGGGAAGACUUGAGGACUGGAGAGGCAAGGGGAAUUCCACGUGUAGCGGUGAAAUACGUAGAGAUGUGGAGGAAUACCAGUGGCGAAGGCGCCUUGCUGGACAGUGCCUGACGCUGAGGCGCGAAGGCGUGGGGAGCAAACAGGAUUAGAUACCCUGGUAGUCCACGCGGUAAACGAUGAGUGCUAGGUGUCGGAGGGUACCACCUCCGGUGCCGAAGGAAACCCAAUAAGCACUCCGCCUGGGGAGUACGGUCGCAAGACUGAAACUCAAAGGAAUUGACGGGGGCCCGCACAAGCAGUGGAGCAUGUGGUUUAAUUCGAAGCAACGCGAAGAACCUUACCAGGACUUGACAUCCCCCUGACGGGAGUAGAGAUAUUCCGUCCCUUCGGGGCAGGGGAGACAGGUGGUGCAUGGUUGUCGUCAGCUCGUGUCGUGAGAUGUUGGGUUAAGUCCCGCAACGAGCGCAACCCUUGAUCAGUGUUACCAGCACGUAAAGGUGGGGACUCACUGAUGACUGCCGGUGACAAACCGGAGGAAGGCGGGGAUGACGUCAAAUCAUCAUGCCCCUUAUGUCCUGGGCCACACACGUGCUACAAUGGGCGGUACAACGGGAAGCAAGAGAGCGAUCUGGAGCGAAACCCUAAAAGCCGUUCGUAGUUCGGAUUGCAGGCUGCAACCCGCCUGCAUGAAGCCGGAAUUGCUAGUAAUCGCGGAUCAGCAUGCCGCGGUGAAUCCGUUCCCGGGCCU